GAUGAACGCUGGCGGCGUGCCUAAUACAUGCAAGUCGAGCGAACAGACGAGGAGCUUGCUCCUCUGACGUUAGCGGCGGACGGGUGAGUAACACGUGGAUAACCUACCUAUAAGACUGGGAUAACUUCGGGAAACCGGAGCUAAUACCGUAUAACAUGUUGAACCGCAUGGUUCAACAGUGAAAGACGGUCUUGCUGUCACUUCUAGAUGCAUCCGCGCUGCAUGAGCUAGUUGGUAAGGUAAAGGCUUACCAAGGCAACGAUGCGUAGCCGACCUGAGAGGGUGAUCGGCCACACGGGAACUGAGACACGGUCCAGACUCCUGCGGGAGGCAGCAGUAGGGAAUCGUCCGCAAUGGGCGAAAGCCUGACGGAGCAACGCCGCGUGAGUGAAGAAGGUCUUCGGAUCGUAAAACUCUGUUAUUAGGGAAGAACAAAUGUGUAAGUAACUAUGCACGUCUUGACGGUACCUAAUCAGAAAGCCACGGCUAACUACGUG
RNAcentral lists this ribosomal RNA (497 nucleotides) under uncultured bacterium. RNAcentral's name for it is "partial 16S ribosomal RNA". It matches the Rfam family "Bacterial small subunit ribosomal RNA", at positions 28 to 507 of the family's 1533-position model. The record is from RNAcentral.